Rosa rugosa (rugosa rose) is the source of this 2600-nucleotide RNA transcript. RefSeq lists it as uncharacterized. The transcript is spliced from 3 exons. The record is from RefSeq and is a predicted model, not a curated record. NCBI's taxonomy places the organism in Eukaryota, Viridiplantae, Streptophyta, Magnoliopsida, Rosales, Rosaceae.
AGCCGUCAGUUCUAACUAACCGUUAUCCCAUAACGGUCAGCCCCAAAUUUCAUUCCCAAAAUUCUGGGUUCUUCGAUGGUGAUCUCGAUCAUGAGUCUUUCCGCCUAAAUUCUUCUUACAAGUGGAUUGGGAUCAUGAUUGAAGAAUCCUACAAGCUGUCAUACGGGUCUUGGCUUGGCCUCUCUUCAUCGACAAGAAGGAAGUAUAGUAUCUGGCCAUGAACCUCCCUUUAGGACUUCAUCAAAUUGAAAACUUGAAUGGAUCAAAUUUUAAGCGAUGGAAGCAAGACAUAGAGCUGCAUCUAGGCAUGAUAGACUAUGACCAUGUCCUUAAGGAAGACCCACCAGCUGAACCAACACCUACUACCAGCAAGGAUGUGAAAGAUAGGUACCAUCAGUGGCACAAACACAACAGAUUAACCCUAGUAAUCUUGAAGAAAUUUAUGACAGAAGCUGUGAGAGGGAGUAUACCCGAGUCUGAAUAUGCUAGGGAAUAUUUCAAAAAUGUAGAGGAGAAAUUUAAGGUGUCAGAUAAGGCUGAGAUUGGAAACCUGAUGAACACCCUCAUUACCAUGAAAUUCGAUGGAGUUGGAAGCGUCAGAGAGUAUAUAAUGAAGGGUAUUGAUGUAGCAGCAAAACUCAAGGCCCUUAAUCUUAACAUAGAAGAAACCUUCCUGGUACAUUUGCUUUUGAAUUCUCUGCCUCAACAAUAUAGUCAGAUGCAGUCUAACUAUAAUACACAGAAGGAGAAGUGGACUAUGAAUGAAUUAAUUUCUAUAUGUGUUCAAGAAGAGGAUAGAAUUAAGAAGGGAAAGAGCAUAGGAAUCAACUUUGUCAGCAAGCCUCAGUUUAAGAAAAGGUUCAGCAGCAAAUCAAACCAAUCAGGUGCCUCAUCUUCUAAAGUUUCUCAGGGCUCAGGGGUCUAGCAACUUUAAAAACUUUAAGAAUGGUUCUGUGAAAUGUUUUUUCUGCCGAAAGCCUGGACAUGUCAAAAAGGAUUGUAAGGGUUUUAAGGACUGGCUUCUAAAGAAAGGGAUAUCUAAGAAAGAGGAUCCCAAACAAGGAUGUGUUGACACCCAAAUUUCCACGAGUUCAAAUUCUAUGAGUGAUAAGCGAAGAGGGGAAGUCAUCAACCUCGUAACCUAAUUGGGCCUUCAAACAAGCCCAUUUCACAUCAAAAGGAAGCUCUCUAUUUAGCAAGCGAUACGAGAAGCCCAAAUUCUCAAACAAUUGACAUGCAUUUUCAAAUGAGCCAACACGCUUAUUUACCAUGCGAUACGCGUAGACCCAAGCUACGUUUGGGGCUUAUACGGCGGGGUGUGGUGUGGAAGGUAACAGAUCGUGCGAGGCCCAUUGUUAUGAUAAGGCCCGUCGGUGAUUUUGGACUUGGGAACCAAAAUUCAUGCUUCGAGGGCCGAUAUCUUAACAUGGGCUAGUAGAGAGAUAAAAGCAGGCCCAACAAGACUUAGAGCCCACUAGGGUCAUUCACCCUAUCCAAAACCCAUUACACUAGAACCGGCAGCCCAAGAUUUGUUGGAGUCAUCUUCCCCAAAUCAGGAACGUUGCUUCAUCAAAUCGUUGCUGGGAUUACUACUCCAUCUAUUUCUGGUAAUAACCCCAAGUUUAUGCAAAAGCUUCCCAAACUCUCAUCCUCCUAAGUCCUAUCUCAGUUUCCAAUAAUCCAUAGGUUUCUGUGAUCACAACUCACAAUUCACAAUAGCACAAAUCAAGGGAUUAUGACCUCCCCAAAAUCACGGCAGCACGAAACCGGGGAUCUCCCUCGCCGUCCUAUACCUACAUCGCUGGUCUUUACCCACAUAGCCAAAGCAAGCUCUCACUCUUCUGGUUUCAUGGGGAAAACAAACACUGAAAGUCUUAGAAUGAUCCCACCAAAACUUAGAAUACCCUUUCAAAGCCUCUGGUUCUUGGUACAAAUCCUUCUCGUCUAUCACCACUAUAAAAGGCGAGUUCAUUGCCAUAGGAAAGCAAGCCACAACAGCCCAGAAACAUCAAGCAAGAGAUCAAGCUUCGUCUCUGAAUCAAUAGCCACCGAUUCUUCCCAACCAACCUUAACCCAAAACCCAGAAAUCAUGUUACUGCUGGAACCUUCUCUCUGCUAAAACUCUCAUGCAUCUAGCUCCCACACCAUGCCUGCCUAUAAGUCCUGUUCCUGUGAAAUAUAGUCCAAUCGCUGCCAUUAUCAUCAAGCCAAAAUCGCUGCCGUAAUCAUCAAGCAAAAUCGCUGCCGUAAUCGUCAAGCCAAAUCGCUGCCGUUAUCACUAAGCCAAAUCGCUGCCGUUAUUGUCAAGCCAAAUAGCUGCGGUUACACCAACUUGGUCACAACGAGGUUGUUCUCAGGUCUAACCUUUGAUCAAUCUUGGGCCUAGUCUCGCUUGAUCAAGAGGGCCCUGUUGCAAAAGAUCUAAGACGCAAAAAGACCCUCACAUUUUUGGCGACUUCACUGGGGACUAGGCUGUGACUCUAGCUGGUGGUUUCUUCCUCACUGCGACAUAUCUCAAGCUACAAUAUUCUAACAGCAGUAGAUCCCAAUCUAUCCCUUAAGCUCUGUUCAUGGGAUCAGGAACCAUUGCCAGAAACAAU